AAUAGAUACCCAGGUAGUCCACCCCGUAAACGUUGGGAACUAGUUGUGGGGUCCUUUCCACGGAUUCCGUGACGCAGCUAACGCAUUAAGUUCCCCGCCUGGGGAGUACGGCCGCAAGGCUAAAACUCAAAGGAAUUGACGGGGACCCGCACAAGCGGCGGAGCAUGCGGAUUAAUUCGAUGCAACGCGAAGAACCUUACCAAGGCUUGACAUAUACGGGAAUGGGCCAGAAAUGGUCAGCUCUUUGGACACUCGUAUACAGGUGGUGCAUGGUUGUCGUCAGCUCGUGUCGUGAGAUGUUGGGUUAAGUCCCGCAACGAGCGCAACCCUCGUUCUAUGUUGCCAGCACGUUAUGGUGGGAACUCAUGGGACACUGCCGGGGUCAACUCGGAGGAAGGUGGGGAUGACGUCAAAUCAUCAUGCCCCUUAUGUCUUGGGCUUCACGCAUGCUACAAUGGCCGGUACAAUGGGCUGCGAUACCGUGAGGUGGAGCGAAUCCCAAAAAGCCGGUCCCAGUUCGGAUCGUAGUCUGCAACUCGACUACG
RNAcentral lists this ribosomal RNA (545 nucleotides) under uncultured bacterium. RNAcentral's name for it is "bacterial SSU rRNA". It matches the Rfam family "Bacterial small subunit ribosomal RNA", at positions 777 to 1320 of the family's 1533-position model. The record is from RNAcentral.